GGGUGAGUAAUACAUCGGAACGUGCCCUGUCGUGGGGGAUAACUAGUCGAAAGAUUAGCUAAUACCGCAUACGACCUGAGGGUGAAAGCGGGGGACCGUAAGGCCUCGCGCGAUAGGAGCGGCCGAUGUCUGAUUAGCUAGUUGGUGGGGUAAAGGCCCACCAAGGCGACGAUCAGUAGCUGGUCUGAGAGGACGAUCAGCCACACUGGGACUGAGACACGGCCCAGACUCCUACGGGAGGCAGCAGUGGGGAAUUUUGGACAAUGGGGGCAACCCUGAUCCAGCAAUGCCGCGUGUGUGAAGAAGGCCUUCGGGUUGUAAAGCACUUUUGUCCGGAAAGAAAUCCCCUGCUCUAAUACAGCGGGGGGAUGACGGUACCGGAAGAAUAAGCACCGGCUAACUACGUGCCAGCAGCCGCGGUAAUACGUAGGGUGCGAGCGUUAAUCGGAAUUACUGGGCGUAAAGCGUGCGCAGGCGGUUUUGUAAGACAGGCGUGAAAUCCCCGAGCUCAACUUGGGAAUGGCGCUUGUGACUGCAAGGCUAGAGUAUGUCAGAGGGGGGUAGAAUUCCACGUGUAGCAGUGAAAUGCGUAGAGAUGUGGAGGAAUACCGAUGGCGAA
This 619-nucleotide ribosomal RNA is filed under the name Cupriavidus basilensis. RNAcentral's name for it is "bacterial SSU rRNA". It matches the Rfam family "Bacterial small subunit ribosomal RNA", at positions 104 to 719 of the family's 1533-position model. The record is from RNAcentral. Lineage: Bacteria; Pseudomonadati; Pseudomonadota; Betaproteobacteria; Burkholderiales; Burkholderiaceae.